This 1161-nucleotide ribosomal RNA is filed under the name Marmota monax (woodchuck). RNAcentral's name for it is "Bacterial large subunit ribosomal RNA". It matches the Rfam family "Bacterial large subunit ribosomal RNA", at positions 507 to 2666 of the family's 2925-position model. The record is from Rfam by way of RNAcentral. Lineage: Eukaryota; Metazoa; Chordata; Mammalia; Rodentia; Sciuridae.
GGGAAAGAUGAAAGAACAAAUUUAUAGUAUCAAAAAGCAAAGAUUAACUCUUUUACGUUUUGCAUAAUGAUUUAACCAGAAAAUGCUUGACAAAAAGAAUUUAAGCCAAACACCCCGAAACCAGAUGAGCUACUUAUGAGCAGCCAAUAAGAGCCCAUCCAUCUAUGUUGCAAAAUAGUGGAACGACUUAUAAGUAGAGGUGAAAAGCCUACCGAGCCUGGUAAUAGCUGGUUGUCCAGAUUAGAAUUUUAGUUCUACUUUAAAUUUACCUAAAGCACAAGCAAGCCAAAUGUAAAUUUAAAUGUUAAUCUAAAGAGGGAUAGCUCUUUCAAGUUAAGGAAUAAACCUUAAUUAGAGAGUAAACCUAUUAACCUCCAUAGUUGGCCUAAAAGCAGCCAUCAAUUAAAAAAGCAUCAAAGCUUAACCUAAUUAUCAAAACUUAAUACCUAACUUUCAAUAAUCUCCUAAGCCAACACUGGACUAAUCUAUUUUCCUAAUAGAAGAAAUUAUGUUAAAAUGAGUAACAAGAAAACAUUCUCCCUGCAUAAACUUAUGUCAGAUCGAAUAAUUCACUGAUAGUUAACAACAUCAUAAUAUUAAAUAAAUCAUAAAACCAUUAUUAACAACACUGCUAACCCAACACUGGUAUGCACUAAGGGAAAGAUUAAAAAAAGUAAAAGGAACUCCGCAAACGCUAACCCCGCCUGUUUACCAAAAACAUCACCCUUCCCGUGAAGAGGCGGGAAUUUCCUAAUAAGACGAGAAGACCCUAUGGAGCUUAUAUUUAAUAGUCUCACAGCCUUGACAUUAUCUAAGGAAUCAAAACUAUUGUUCAUAGACUAGAAAUUUUGGUUGUGGUGACCUUGGAGUACAAAUAAACCUCUGAAUGAUAAUAAUCUAAACACAACACCUCCAAAUUAUAACUCAUUAAUUGACCCAAAUUAUUGAUCAAUGGAACAAGUUACCCUAGGGAUAACAGCGCAAUCCUACUCUAGAGUCCAUAUGGACAGUUAGGGUUUACGACCUGGAUGUUGGAUCAGGACAUCCAAAUGGUGUAACCGCUAUUAAUUGUUUGUUUGUUCAACGAUUAAAGUCCUACGUGAUCUGAGUUCAGACAGAGAAAUCCAGGUCGGUUUCUAUCUAUUACUAUAUUUCUCCCAG